Molecule: non-coding RNA, 124 nt
Organism: Triticum aestivum (bread wheat)
Lineage: Eukaryota; Viridiplantae; Streptophyta; Magnoliopsida; Poales; Poaceae
Source: Rfam
GUAGUACUCCCUCUGUUCGGAAAUACUUGUCUUAGGAAUGGUUGUAUCUAGACUUAUUUUAGUUAUAGAUACAUCCAUUUUAUCCACUUCUAGGAUAAGUAUUUCCGGACGGAGGGAGUAUGUG